GUAUGUAUUUUAUUUAAAGAUUAUAUUUCCUAAAACUCGGUUAAAUUCGGUGUUCAAUGUUUUAAUCGUUGAUAUAUUUUGUUCCAGCUUGGCCCAAAAUAUGAUUAACCUAGCUUCCUAUGCGCCGGUAAUGGCGGCAUAACCUUUUCACCUCUUUCAAACCAACUUGCAAUUCCUUGACAAAGAUGAGACAUCAUCUUGUUUCACCGCGUGGGCCUACGUCGCCACGUCUGGUGUCUAAUAUAAGGGACUCGGCUUAGAAACCGGUAAGGAUUUUUUAAUCUCAUUAUUUCCGCAAGCUAAAUCGCGCGUUGUCCCAAUUAAAUAUAAAUAUAACUUUUUAUAACAUAACCUCUCUAAAACCUAGAACAUUCUCUUUGUUUCUAGGGUCCUUUGGCUAGGCCUGUCUUUUGGCUGGGCCUAUCUCUUCCCUUGGCUCUUGGCCCUAUGGCUUUUGGAAGAUCUAGGGUGGUGUCGCACCAUGCUAGAGGGGAAGCCGUCUUCUCCACUUAAUUUUUGGACUCGAGGUGAAGUGUUCAUUCGAUAAAACUGUGAGUUAAAAACUUAUAUUUACAUUAGUGACUGUGUUCCCUUUGCUGGAAAGGAUAAACAAUAUUUAAGUCUGAAUUUCUUUUUAACGUGAACUUUCUACAUGGUAAAUUCUAUUAUUAAUAUGAAACCUGCAAUUCCUAUGUAGGAUUUUGUGUGUAUUACAGGCCCAAAUAUGCCUGAGAUGUACUUAAGUUAAAUUUAAUUAGUAAUAGUUACGGUACGUAAUUUAAAUGUUAAGUCUCGAGGCCGCAGCAGGUCUUAUUGUGAUGUAAAGUGAAUAAAAGUAUUUAGUAAAUAAA
Molecule: long non-coding RNA, 851 nt
Organism: Cydia fagiglandana
Lineage: Eukaryota; Metazoa; Arthropoda; Insecta; Lepidoptera; Tortricidae
Exons: 2
Source: RefSeq, a predicted model, not a curated record